GCCCGCACCCCCGGUAAUUUCCCCUCCCAUAGCGUAUAUUAAAAUUGUUGCAGUUAAAAAGCUCGUAGUUGAAUUUCGGAAUCUGUCCGUCGGUCGGGCUUCUCUGUCCGCACGGGCGUGAUGGGUUCCUCCCCUCGGAAUAACCCGCAUGUCUAUUAAUUUGGUGCGCCGGGAAAGCAAACCUUUCACCU
This 191-nucleotide ribosomal RNA is filed under the name uncultured Acaulospora. RNAcentral's name for it is "partial 18S ribosomal RNA". It matches the Rfam family "Eukaryotic small subunit ribosomal RNA", at positions 566 to 757 of the family's 1831-position model. Lineage: Eukaryota; Fungi; Glomeromycota; Glomeromycetes; Diversisporales; Acaulosporaceae. The record is from RNAcentral.